UACGUAGGGGGCUAGCGUUGUCCGGAAUCAUUGGGCGUAAAGCGCGUGUAGGCGGCCCGGUAAGUCCGCUGUGAAAGUCGGGGGCUCAACCCUCGGAUGCCGGUGGAUACUGUCGGGCUAGAGUACGGAAGAGGCGAGUGGAAUUCCUGGUGUAGCGGUGAAAUGCGCAGAUAUCGGGAGGAACACCAAUUGCGAAGGCAGCUCGCUGGGACGUUACUGACGCUGAGACGCGAAAGCGUGGGGAGCAAACAGG
RNAcentral lists this ribosomal RNA (253 nucleotides) under uncultured bacterium. RNAcentral describes it as "partial 16S ribosomal RNA". It matches the Rfam family "Bacterial small subunit ribosomal RNA", at positions 524 to 776 of the family's 1533-position model. The record is from RNAcentral.